Molecule: ribosomal RNA, 464 nt
Filed under: uncultured bacterium
Lineage: Bacteria
Description: partial 16S ribosomal RNA
Rfam family: Bacterial small subunit ribosomal RNA
Source: RNAcentral
GAUGAACGCUGGCGGCGUGCUUAACACAUGCAAGUCGAACGGAAAGGCUCCUGCUUGCAGGGGUACUCGAGUGGCGAACGGGUGAGUAACACGUGGGUGAUCUGCCCUGCACUUCGGGAUAAGCCUGGGAAACUGGGUCUAAUACCGGAUAGGACGAUGGUUUGGAUGCCAUUGUGGAAAGUUUUUCGGUGUGGGAUGAGCUCGCGGCCUAUCAGCUUGUUGGUGGGGUAAUGGCCUACCAAGGCGUCGACGGGUAGCCGGCCUGAGAGGGUGUACGGCCACAUUGGGACUGGGGUACGGCCCAGACUCCUACGGGGGGCAGCAGUGGGGAAUAUUGCACAAGGGGCGCAAGCCUUAUGCAGCGACGCCGGGUGGGGGAGGACGGCCUUCGGGUGGUAAACUCCUUUCGCUAGGGACGAAGCGCAAGUGACGGUACCUGGAGAAGAAGCACCGGCUAACUACGU